CAAAUUAAGAUAACUAGUUUAUCUUCCCUUAGGAAACUCCCUACUAAAGCAAUCAGAAAACAGAAUGCUCUUGGCAUAGUGAUGCUGUUCCCUUCCCUCAGAGAUCCAUACUCCAAGAAAGGCUCCGAACACUUUUAUGAUGCUGCAAGUGACACAGGAUACAUUGCCUGGCGUAAUAAAAAAACAGUCCACAGGAAUAUGGAGCGAUGCCACCAGACAGCCCUCUUCCUCAACAGUCUACGGCCAGGAAAUGGCAUCCCUUCUUUUAAUCCCUUCCACCACUUCCAGGAGGACUGAAGUCUCCAAAAAUUGCAUGCAAUGCAGCUGAAAGCCAUGUAAUCUAUCAUAAG
Onychostoma macrolepis is the source of this 350-nucleotide long non-coding RNA. RefSeq lists it as uncharacterized. NCBI's taxonomy places the organism in Eukaryota, Metazoa, Chordata, Actinopteri, Cypriniformes, Cyprinidae. The record is from RefSeq and is a predicted model, not a curated record. The transcript has 3 exons.